Molecule: ribosomal RNA, 253 nt
Filed under: uncultured Eubacteriales bacterium
Lineage: Bacteria; Bacillati; Bacillota; Clostridia; Eubacteriales
Description: uncultured Clostridiales bacterium partial 16S ribosomal RNA
Rfam family: Bacterial small subunit ribosomal RNA
Source: RNAcentral
UACGUAGGGGGCAAGCGUUAUCCGGAUUCACUGGGUGUAAAGGGAGCGUAGACGGCCAUGCAAGCCAGGGGUGAAAGCCCGGGGCACAACCCCGGGACUGCCCUUGGAACUGCAUGGCUGGAGUGCGGGAGGGGCAGGCGGAAUUCCUGGUGUAGCGGUGAAAUCCGUAGAGAUCAAGAGGAAUACUCAUUGCGAAGGCGACCUGCUAGAACAUAACUGACGCUGAUGCGCGAAAGCGUGGGGAGCAAACAGG